This 450-nucleotide ribosomal RNA is filed under the name uncultured bacterium. RNAcentral's name for it is "partial 16S ribosomal RNA". It matches the Rfam family "Bacterial small subunit ribosomal RNA", at positions 354 to 796 of the family's 1533-position model. The record is from RNAcentral.
GUGGGGAAUUUUGGACAAUGGGGGCAACCCUGAUCCAGCCAUCCCGCGUGUGCGAUGAAGGCCUUCGGGUUGUAAAGCACUUUUGGCAGGAAAGAAAUCGCACGGGAUAAUACCUCGUGUGGAUGACGGUACCUGCAGAAUAAGCACCGGCUAACUACGUGCCAGCAGCCGCGGUAAUACGUAGGGUGCAAGCGUUAAUCGGAAUUACUGGGCGUAAAGCGUGCGCAGGCGGUUCGGAAAGAAAGAGGGGAAAUCCCAAGGCUUAACCUUGGAACUGCAUUUGUAACUAUCGGGCUAGAGUGUGUCAGAGGGGGUUGUGAGUCCGCGUGUAGCAGUGAAAUGCGUAGAUAUGCGGAGGAACACCGAUGGCGAAGGCAGCCCCCUGGGAUAAGACUGACGCUCAUGCACGAAAGCGUGGGGAGCAAACAGGAUUAGAAACCCGAGUAGUCC